AACGAACGCUGGCGGCAGGCCUAACACAUGCAAGUCGAGCGAGGACUUCGGUUCUAGCGGCGGACGGGUGAGUAACGCGUGGGAAUGUGCCCUUCUCUACGGAAUAGCCCUGGGAAACUGGGAGUAAUACCGUAUACGCCCUAUUGGGGAAAGAUUUAUCGGAGAAGGAUCAGCCUGCGUUGGAUUAGGUAGUUGGUGGGGUAAUGGCCUACCAAGCCGACGAUCCAUAGCUGGUUUGAGAGGAUGAUCAGCGACACUGGGACUGGGACACGGCACAGACUCCUACGGGAGGCAGCAGUGGGGGAUCUUAGACAAUGGGGGCAACCAUGAUGUAGCCAGGCCGGGUGAGUGAUGAAGGCCUUAGGGUUGUAAAGCGCUUUCAGCUGGGAAGAUCAUGACGGUACCAGAAGAAGAAGCCCCGGCUAACUCCGUG
Molecule: ribosomal RNA, 433 nt
Filed under: uncultured bacterium
Lineage: Bacteria
Description: partial 16S ribosomal RNA
Rfam family: Bacterial small subunit ribosomal RNA
Source: RNAcentral